This 885-nucleotide ribosomal RNA is filed under the name uncultured bacterium. RNAcentral describes it as "bacterial SSU rRNA". It matches the Rfam family "Bacterial small subunit ribosomal RNA", at positions 29 to 945 of the family's 1533-position model. The record is from RNAcentral.
ACGAACGCUGGCGGUGUGCUUAACACAUGCAAGUCGAACGAGCUCUUCGGAGCUAGUGGCGGACGGGUGAGUAAUACAUAGAUAACCUGCCUUAAAGUGGGGGAUAACUAGCCGAAAGGUUAGCUAAUACCGCAUAAUGUAGUUAAUUGUAAUAUUAACUAAGAAAGGAUUUAUUCGCUUAUAGAGGGGUCUAUGGUUGAUUAGCUAGUUGGUGGGGUAAGAGCUCACCAAGGCGACGAUCAAUAGCUGGUCUGAGAGGACGAUCAGCCACACUGGGACUGAGACACGGCCCAGACUUCUACGGAAGGCAGCAGUGGGGAAUUUUCCGCAAUGGGCGAAAGCCUGACGGAGCGGCACCGCGUGGAGGAUGAAAUUUUUCGGAAUGUAAACUCCUUUUGGCAGGAAUGAAACAAAUGACAGUACCUGCAGAAUAAGCAUCGGCUAACUACGUGCCAGCAGCCGCGGUAAUACGUAGGAUGCAAGCGCUGUUCGGAAUUACUGGGCGUAAAGAGUACGUAGGCGGUAAUGAAAGUCUGAUAUUAAAGACUGGGGCUUAACCUCAGGAGUGUAUCGGAAACUUCAUAACUAGAGGACAGUAGAGGAAAUUGGAAUUCCCAGUGUAGCGGUGAAAUGCGUAGAUAUUGGGAGGAACACCAGUGGCGAAAGCGAAUUUCUGGGCUGUUACUGACGCUGAGGUACGAAAGUGUGGGGAGCAAACAGGAUUAGAUACCCUGGUAGUCCACACGGUAAACGAUGGAUACUAGGUGUAACCGGCUUCGACCCCGGUUGUGCCGCAGCUAACGCAUUAAGUAUCCCGCCUGGGGAGUAUGGCCGCAAGGUUGAACUCAAGGAAUUGACGGGGGCCCGCACAGCGUGAGAUGUGUU